GAGGGGAUAGCUCACAUAGUAGAGUGCAUGCUUCCCAUGCAGGAGGUCCUGGGUUCAAUCCCCAGUACCUCCU
This is a transfer RNA of Camelus ferus (Wild Bactrian camel), 73 nucleotides long. It matches the Rfam family "tRNA". From Rfam's summary of the family: Transfer RNA (tRNA) molecules are approximately 80 nucleotides in length. Their secondary structure includes four short double-helical elements and three loops (D, anti-codon, and T loops). The record is from Rfam. Lineage: Eukaryota; Metazoa; Chordata; Mammalia; Artiodactyla; Camelidae.